This 378-nucleotide long non-coding RNA is filed under the name Citrus maxima (pomelo). Its description in RNAcentral is "long non-coding RNA (CMAX_LNC002375)". Lineage: Eukaryota; Viridiplantae; Streptophyta; Magnoliopsida; Sapindales; Rutaceae. The record is from RNAcentral.
GGACACAAAAAGAGCAACACAAAACCCAAUCAACAACAACCAGAGAAGAAGUUUAAAGCAAUACCUGGAUUGAACUGGCACGGAUAGCGCGGCCGUGAUAGAGAAAAAACCCAGCAAGUGGAUACUCCGGACACGAGAGGUGUGAGCAAAGUUCAGAGAGGGGGUUAGUUAACGACGGAGAGAUGAAUAACAAAAUGAUGAUGAUUUAAGUCUAGGGAUUUGAAACGAAAAGGGAAAAAUGAAAGCAUUUAAGUGAUGGGGACGCCAGCUCACUCACCGCAUAUCGAGGACAGAUAGCCCGUCGUUUCAAAUUUCAAAUACGAAGAGUCUGGAGAUGCCACGUCACUAACCGUUACCAGGGGCCAGGCCAGAUGCAGG